GAUGAACGCUGGCGGCGUGCCUAAUACUUGCAAGUCGAGCGAACAGAUGAGGAGCUUGCUCCUCUGACGUUAGCGGCGGACGGGUGAGUAACACGUGGAUAACCUACCUAUAAGACUGGGAUAACUUCGGGAAACCGGCGCUAAUACCGGAUAAUAUAUUGAACCGCAUGGUUCAAUAGUGAAAGACGGUUUUGCUGUCACUUAUAGAUGGAUCCGCGCCGCAUUAGCUAGUUGGUAAGGUAACGGCUUACCAAGGCAACGAUGCGUAGCCGACCUGAGAGGGUGAUCGGCCACACUGGAACUGAGACACGGUCCAGACUCCUACGGGAGGCAGCAGUAGGGAAUCGUCCGCAAUGGGCGAAAGCCUGACGGAGCAACGCCGCGUGAGUGAUGAAGGUCUUCGGAUCGUAAAACUCUGUUAUUAGGGAAGAACAAAUGUGUAAGUAACUAUGCACGUCUUGACGGUACCUAAUCAGAAAGCCACGGCUAACUACGUG
Molecule: ribosomal RNA, 497 nt
Filed under: uncultured bacterium
Lineage: Bacteria
Description: partial 16S ribosomal RNA
Rfam family: Bacterial small subunit ribosomal RNA
Source: RNAcentral